GACGAGGGGUCCUAGCGUUGUUCGGAAUCACUGGGCGUAAAGCGUAUGUAGGCGGGCUUUUAAGUCAGGUGUGAAAUCCCAUGGCUCAACCAUGGAAUUGCAUUUGAAACUGGAAGUCUUGAGUGUGGGAGAGAUUGGUAGAAUACCUAGUGUAGUGGUGAAAUACGUAGAUAUUAGGUGGAAUACCGGUGGCGAAGGCGGCCAAUUGGCCCAACACUGACGCUGAGAUACGAAAGCGUGGGGAUCAAACAGG
Molecule: ribosomal RNA, 253 nt
Filed under: uncultured bacterium
Lineage: Bacteria
Description: partial 16S ribosomal RNA
Rfam family: Bacterial small subunit ribosomal RNA
Source: RNAcentral